GACUAAUUUAAUAUUUUAUUUUGAAAGUAAAAGUGGGGGUGUUUACUCCGUUAGUCU
This 57-nucleotide transfer RNA is filed under the name Syndesmis kurakaikina. Its description in RNAcentral is "tRNA-Ser". Lineage: Eukaryota; Metazoa; Platyhelminthes; Rhabdocoela; Umagillidae. The record is from RNAcentral.